Stegostoma tigrinum is the source of this 282-nucleotide long non-coding RNA. RefSeq lists it as uncharacterized. NCBI's taxonomy places the organism in Eukaryota, Metazoa, Chordata, Chondrichthyes, Orectolobiformes, Stegostomatidae. The transcript has 3 exons. The record is from RefSeq and is a predicted model, not a curated record.
GGCAGAAAGAGAGAGAGAAGGACUUGGGAGGUGCCACUACGCCUCAGGCGAGAGGACCAAGUCGAGUGCUGGGAUUUUCAUGGCACACUCAGCCUGUGCAGAAUCCGACCCCACACCAGAGGAUACCAGACUUGCUAAGUUUCACCAGCAAUUUCCGUUUUGGAACUCAACAAUUAUGAGACAAGACAAAGAAUAAGAAAAAGACAUGGAUGCUGCCAGACCUGCUGACCCUCUUAAGGAUAUCCGAUUUCUGACCAACUGAAACCAUUUCAAAACCAGUCC